This 465-nucleotide ribosomal RNA is filed under the name uncultured bacterium. RNAcentral describes it as "partial 16S ribosomal RNA". It matches the Rfam family "Bacterial small subunit ribosomal RNA", at positions 28 to 507 of the family's 1533-position model. The record is from RNAcentral.
GACGAACGCUGGCGGCGUGCUUAACACAUGCAAGUCGAACGGAAAGGCCCUGCUUGCCGGGUGCUCGAGUGGCGAACGGGUGAGUAACACGUGGGUGAUCUGCCCUGCACUUCGGGAUAAGCCUGGGAAACUGGGUCUAAUACCGGAUAGGAGCCAUUUUGAGUGUGAGGGUUGGAAAGUUUUUUCGGUGUAGGAUGAGCUCGCGGCCUAUCAGCUUGUUGGUGGGGUAAUGGCCUACCAAGGCGGCGACGGGUAGCCGGCCUGAGAGGGUGGACGGCCACACUGGGACUGAGAUACGGCCCAGACUCCUACGGGAGGCAGCAGUGGGGAAGAUUGCACAAUGGGCGCAAGCCUGAUGCAGCGACGCCGCGUGGGGGAUGACGGCCUUCGGGUUGUAAACUCCCUUCGCUAGGGACGAAGCUUUUUGUGACGGUACCUAGAUAAGAAGCACCGGCUAACUACGUG